CUACGGGGUGCUGCAGUGGGGAAUCUUAGACAAUGGGCGCAAGCCUGAUCUAGCCAUACCGCGUGAGUGAUGAAGGCCUUAGGGUCGUAAAGCUCUUUCGCCAGGGAAGAUAAUGACUGUACCUGGUAAAGAAGUCCCGGCUAACUCCGUGCCAGCAGCCGCGGUAAUACGGAGGGGACUAGCGUUGUUCGGAAUUACUGGGCGUAAAGCGCACGUAGGCGGACCGAAAAGUUGGGGGUGAAAUCCCGGGGCUCAACCCUGGAACUGCCUUCAAAACUGCCGGUCUAGAGUUCGAGAGAGGGGAGUGGAAUUCCGGGUGUAGAGGUGAAAUUCGUAGAUAUUCGGAGGAACACCAGUGGCGAAGGCGACUCACUGGCUCGAUACUGACGCUGAGGUGCGAAAGCGUGGGGAGCAAACAGGAUUAGAUACCCUCGUAGUC
RNAcentral lists this ribosomal RNA (439 nucleotides) under uncultured bacterium. Its description in RNAcentral is "partial 16S ribosomal RNA". It matches the Rfam family "Bacterial small subunit ribosomal RNA", at positions 339 to 795 of the family's 1533-position model. The record is from RNAcentral.